UACGGAGGGUGCAAGCGUUAUCCGGAUUCACUGGGGUUAAAGGGUGCGUAGGUGGGCAGGUAAGUCAGUGGGGAAAUCUCCGGGCUUAACCCGGAAACUGCCAUUGAUACUAUUUGUCUUGAAUACCGUGGAGGUCAGCGGAAUAUGUCAUGUAGCGGUGAAAUGCUUAGAUAUGACAUAGAACACCAAUUGCGAAGGCAGCUGGCUACACGAAUAUUGACACUGAUGCACGAAAGCGUGGGGAUCAAACAGG
RNAcentral lists this ribosomal RNA (253 nucleotides) under uncultured bacterium. Its description in RNAcentral is "partial 16S ribosomal RNA". It matches the Rfam family "Bacterial small subunit ribosomal RNA", at positions 524 to 776 of the family's 1533-position model. The record is from RNAcentral.